GAUGAACGCUGGCGGCGUGCCUAAUACAUGCAAGUCGAGCGAACGGACGAGAAGCUUGCUUCUCUGAUGUUAGCGGCGGACGGGUGAGUAACACGUGGAUAACCUACCUAUAAGACUGGGAUAACUUCGGGAAACCGGAGCUAAUACCGGAUAAUAUUUUGAACCGCAGGGUUCAAAAGUGAAAGACGGUCUUGCUGUCACUUAUAGAUGGAUCCGCGCUGCAUUAGCUAGUUGGUAAGGUAACGGCUUACGAAGGCAACGAUGCAUAGCCGACCUGAGAGGGUGAUCGGCCACACUGGAGCUGGGACACGGACCAGACUCCUACGGGAGGCAGCAGUAGGGAAUCUUACGCAAUGGGCGAAAGCCUGACGGAGCAACGCCGCGUGAGUGAUGAAGGUCUUCGGAUCGUAAAACUCUGUUAUUAGGGAAGAACAUAUGUGUAAGUAACUGUGCACAUCUUGACGGUACCUAAUCGGAAAGCAACGGCUAACUACGUG
Molecule: ribosomal RNA, 497 nt
Filed under: uncultured bacterium
Lineage: Bacteria
Description: partial 16S ribosomal RNA
Rfam family: Bacterial small subunit ribosomal RNA
Source: RNAcentral